AUGGCUCAGGAUGAACGCUAGCUACAGGCUUAACACAUGCAAGUCGAGGGGCAGCAUGUGGUUGCUUGCAACCAAUGAUGGCGACCGGCGCACGGGUGAGUAACGCGUAUCCAACCUUCCCCUUAGUAGAGGAUAGCCCGGCGAAAGUCGGAUUAAUACUCUAUGUUCUUCAAUGCGGACAUCUAAGUUGAAGCAAAGAUUUAUCGCUAAGGGAUGGGGAUGCGUCUGAUUAGGUUGCAGGCGGGGUAACGGCCCACCUGGCCUACGAUCAGUAGGGGUUCUGAGAGGAAGGUCCCCCACACUGGUACUGAGACACGGACCAGACUCCUACGGGAGGCAGCAGUGAGGAAUAUUGGUCAAUGGGCGCGAGCCUGAACCAGCCAAGUAGCGUGCAAGGACGACUGCCCUAUGGGUUGUAAACUGCUUUUAUCAGGGAAUAAAGUGAGGCACGCGUGCCUUUUUGUAUGUACCUGAUGAAUAAGGACCGGCUAAUUCCGUGCCAGCCGCCGC
RNAcentral lists this ribosomal RNA (510 nucleotides) under uncultured bacterium. Its description in RNAcentral is "bacterial SSU rRNA". It matches the Rfam family "Bacterial small subunit ribosomal RNA", at positions 19 to 518 of the family's 1533-position model. The record is from RNAcentral.